CCCUUAGAUGUCCUGGGCCGCACGCGUGCUACACUGACACUUGCAACGAGUACUUUGCUUUACCGAAAGGUAAUGCUAAUCACCAAUAAGUGUCGUGAUGGGGAUAGAUCUUUGGAAUUAUGGAUCUUGAACGAGGAAUGCCUAGUAAGCGUAGGUCAUUAGCCUACGCUGAUUAAGUCCCUGCCCUUUGUACACACCGCCCGUCGCUCCUACCGAUUUCGAGUGGUCCGGUGAAACUUUUGGACCGUGCGUCUUUAUUGUUGUCACGGAAAGUCAGUUAAACCAUACUACUUAGAGGAAGGAGAANUCGUANCA
RNAcentral lists this ribosomal RNA (315 nucleotides) under uncultured eukaryote. RNAcentral's name for it is "partial 18S ribosomal RNA". It matches the Rfam family "Eukaryotic small subunit ribosomal RNA", at positions 1470 to 1796 of the family's 1831-position model. The record is from RNAcentral.